CAAACUUAUAAACACAUCCAACCCAAUUCUACUGCCUCGUUUUUAACGUUUGCCGAUGGUUGUCCAUGCAUAGACUCCACUCCAGCGUACGCAAUUGGUUUUCACGACAAAAGUGGCUGGCUCACGCCCUCUCGAAGGCCGAAGCUCACAAUGGGCCAACUGCAACAACAAAGUCCAGUAGCAGAAGAAGACACGACCCAUAUCCCCCACGCCUGUUUGGGAUUCUCACCCAUGGCAGGGCACCAACGAUCUCUUGCUCCAGUCCUCCUAUCUCAGACCCUCUGUGCCAUAGCAAGGACCCGUUGCUGCCGGUCAGCCUCCCCACUGCGUGAGUCUCAGUCUCAAAGCUGCUAAGCUCCAUUUCUUUUGGUUGGCGGCUUGAUUGGAUUGAGCAAUUUUGGUGUGGAUGAAUGGGGAAUGGAGCAGAUGUUCUAGGAGGGUAAUAAAGUCAUUUGGUGGGCGAAGUUGGAAGCUUGAAAUCUCAAGUAUCCAACUACUGGGACUGAAGCCCUCUCCAUGGAUUCUCGUUGAGGUUGCUCAAAAUGGUACCAUUUGCACCCGUAACACUGGCCCAACUCUCAUCCCAGUUAGACGUCAAGAACGCUUUCCUUCACAGGUAUCGGGCAAUGCACCACUCUUUACCAUACAAAGGCAUCUCUUUGUAUUGGACCGUGCCUCCUUGACUUGUUUGGCUCGCUUUGCUAUGCAACAACACAUGGUCUCUUGUUCCUCCAUGACCUAGCUUCAAUAUCGUUGUAUUGACAAAAGAUAAGAAUAACAUAAUUGUAUAUCAUUUUUUUCCGUAUGGGUCCAUCGAAUUUUAUGAGUAUGUAAGGAUAAAAAGUUAUUAUAUGUAAUGGACAUAGUAGAAAAUAGGAACUUCCAUUUCAAGGUUUCGAGUCCUUAAA
Molecule: long non-coding RNA, 908 nt
Organism: Carya illinoinensis
Lineage: Eukaryota; Viridiplantae; Streptophyta; Magnoliopsida; Fagales; Juglandaceae
Exons: 2
Source: RefSeq, a predicted model, not a curated record